GAUUCGUCACACUAUCAUUAACUGAAUCCAUAGGUUAAUGAGGCGAACCGGGGGAACUGAAACAUCUAAGUACCCCGAGGAAAAGAAAUCAACCGAGAUUCCCCCAGUAGCGGCGAGCGAACGGGGAGGAGCCCAGAGCCUGAAUCAGCAUGUGUGUUAGUGGAAGCGUCUGGAAAGGCGCGCGAUACAGGGUGACAGCCCCGUACACAAAAGCGCAUGUGCUGUGAGCUCGAUGAGUAGGGCGGGACACGUGGUAUCCUGUCUGAAUAUGGGGGGACCAUCCUCCAAGGCUAAAUACUCCUGACUGACCGAUAGUGAACCAGUACCGUGAGGGAAAGGCGAAAAGAACCCCGGCGAGGGGAGUGAAAAAGAACCUGAAACCGUGUACGUACAAGCAGUGGGAGCACAGGUUUACCUGUGUGACUGCGUACCUUUUGUAUAAUGGGUCAGCGACUUAUAUUCUGUAGCAAGGUUAACCGUAUAGGGGAGCCGGAGGGAAACCGAGUCUUAAUUGGGCGUUAAGUUGCAGGGUAUAGACCCGAAACCCGGUGAUCUAGCCAUGGGCAGGUUGAAGGUUGGGUAACACUAACUGGAGGACCGAACCGACUAAUGUUGAAAAAUUAGCGGAUGACCUGUGGCUGGGGGUGAAAGGCCAAUCAAACCGGGAGAUAGCUGGUUCUCCCCGAAAGCUAUUUAGGUAGCGCCUCGUGAAUUCAUCUCCGGGGGUAGAGCACUGUUUCGGCUAGGGGGCCAUCCCGGCUUACCAACCCGAUGCAAACUGCGAAUACCGGAGAAUGUUAUCACGGGAGACACACGGCGGGUGCUAACGUCCGUCGUGAAGAGGGAAACAACCCAGACCGCCAGCUAAGGUCCCAAAGUCAUGGUUAAGUGGGAAACGAUGUGGGAAGGCCCAGACAGCCAGGAUGUUGGCUUAGAAGCAGCCAUCAUUUAAAGAAAGCGUAAUAGCUCACUGGUCGAGUCGGCCUGCGCGGAAGAUGUAACGGGGCUAAACCAUGCACCGAAGCUGCGGCAGCGAACGUAUCACCCAAGACAACUUUACGGAGUUGACGAUUGACGGAGCGAAGCGACGUCAAAGCGUUCAUUAAAGUCGAGUUGGCUUAGGGAUACGUUCGUUGGGUAGGGGAGCGUUCUGUAAGCCUGUGAAGGUGUGUCGUGAGGCAUGCUGGAGGUAUCAGAAGUGCGAAUGCUGACAUAAGUAACGAUAAAGCGGGUGAAAAGCCCGCUCGCCGGAAGACCAAGGGUUCCUGUCCAACGUUAAUCGGGGCAGGGUGAGUCGACCCCUAAGGCGAGGCCGAAAGGCGUAGUCGAUGGGAAACGGGUUAAUAUUCCCGUACUUGGUGUUACUGCGAAGGGGGGACGGAGAAGGCUAUGUUGGCCGGGCGACGGUUGUCCCGGUUUAAGCGUGUAGGUGUGUGUUCCAGGUAAAUCCGGUUCACUUUAACACUGAGGCGUGACGACGAGGCACUACGGUGCUGAAGCAACAAAUGCCCUGCUUCCAGGAAAAGCCUCUAAGCAUCAGGUAACAUCAAAUCGUACCCCAAACCGACACAGGUGGUCAGGUAGAGAAUACCAAGGCGCUUGAGAGAACUCGGGUGAAGGAACUAGGCAAAAUGGUGCCGUAACUUCGGGAGAAGGCACGCUGACACGUAGGUGAAGUGAUUUACUCAUGGAGCUGAAGUCAGUCGAAGAUACCAGCUGGCUGCAACUGUUUAUUAAAAACACAGCACUGUGCAAACACGAAAGUGGACGUAUACGGUGUGACGCCUGCCCGGUGCCGGAAGGUUAAUUGAUGGGGUCAGCGCAAGCGAAGCUCCUGAUCGAAGCCCCGGUAAACGGCGGCCGUAACUAUAACGGUCCUAAGGUAGCGAAAUUCCUUGUCGGGUAAGUUCCGACCUGCACGAAUGGCGUAAUGAUGGCCAGGCUGUCUCCACCCGAGACUCAGUGAAAUUGAACUCGCUGUGAAGAUGCAGUGUACCCGCGGCAAGACGGAAAGACCCCGUGAACCUUUACUAUAGCUUGACACUGAACAUUGAGCCUUGAUGUGUAGGAUAGGUGGGAGGCUUUGAAGUGUGGACGCCAGUCUGCAUGGAGCCGACCUUGAAAUACCACCCUUUAAUGUUUGAUGUUCUAACGUGGACCCGUAAUCCGGGUUGCGGACAGUGUCUGGUGGGUAGUUUGACUGGGGCGGUCUCCUCCUAAAGAGUAACGGAGGAGCACGAAGGUUGGCUAAUCCUGGUCGGACAUCAGGAGGUUAGUGCAAUGGCAUAAGCCAGCUUGACUGCGAGCGUGACGGCGCGAGCAGGUGCGAAAGCAGGUCAUAGUGAUCCGGUGGUUCUGAAUGGAAGGGCCAUCGCUCAACGGAUAAAAGGUACUCCGGGGAUAACAGGCUGAUACCGCCCAAGAGUUCAUAUCGACGGCGGUGUUUGGCACCUCGAUGUCGGCUCAUCACAUCCUGGGGCUGAAGUAGGUCCCAAGGGUAUGGCUGUUCGCCAUUUAAAGUGGUACGCGAGCUGGGUUUAGAACGUCGUGAGACAGUUCGGUCCCUAUCUGCCGUGGGCGCUGGAGAACUGAGGGGGGCUGCUCCUAGUACGAGAGGACCGGAGUGGACGCAUCACUGGUGUUCGGGUUGUCAUGCCAAUGGCACUGCCCGGUAGCUAAAUGCGGAAGAGAUAAGUGCUGAAAGCAUCUAAGCACGAAACUUGCCCCGAGAUGAGUUCUCCCUGAGACUUAGAGUCUCCUGAAGGAACGUUGAA
This 2774-nucleotide ribosomal RNA is filed under the name Salmonella enterica subsp. enterica serovar Typhimurium. RNAcentral's name for it is "partial 23S ribosomal RNA". It matches the Rfam family "Bacterial large subunit ribosomal RNA". The record is from RNAcentral. Lineage: Bacteria; Pseudomonadati; Pseudomonadota; Gammaproteobacteria; Enterobacterales; Enterobacteriaceae.